RNAcentral lists this ribosomal RNA (497 nucleotides) under uncultured bacterium. Its description in RNAcentral is "partial 16S ribosomal RNA". It matches the Rfam family "Bacterial small subunit ribosomal RNA", at positions 28 to 507 of the family's 1533-position model. The record is from RNAcentral.
GAUGAACGCUGGCGGCGUGCCUAAUACAUGCAAGUCGAGCGAGCAGACGAGGAGCUUGCUCCUCUGACGUUAGCGGCGGGCGGGUGAGUAACACGUGGAUAACCUACCUAUAAGACUGGGAUAACUUCGGGAAACCGGAGCUAAUACCGGAUAAUAUAUUGAACCGCAUGGUUCAAUAGUGAAAGACGGUUUUGCUGUCACUUAUAGAUGGAUCCGCGCCGCAUUAGCUAGUUGGUAAGGUAACGGCUUACCAAGGCAACGAUGCGUAGCCGACCUGAGAGGGUGAUCGGCCACACUGGAACUGAGACACGGUCCAGACUCCUACGGGAGGCAGCAGUAGGGAAUCUUCCGCAAUGGGCGAAAGCUUGACGGAGCAACGCCGCGUGAGUGAUGAAGGUCUUCGGAUCGUAAAACUCUGUUAUUAGGGAAGAACAAAUGUGUAAGUAACUAUGCACGUCUUGACGGUACCUAAUCAGAAAGCCACGGCUAACUACGUG